CAGCCCGCGUUGGGAGAACUGGUCACCAGUGCCGAAGGAGCAACCGCCCCGGUAAACUCUCAGGCAAAUGGACCUUCGCGGCACC
This 85-nucleotide non-coding RNA is filed under the name Aquimixticola soesokkakensis. Its description in RNAcentral is "Glycine sequence". It matches the Rfam family "Glycine riboswitch aptamer". From Rfam's summary of the family: This family represents the bacterial glycine riboswitch. The record is from Rfam by way of RNAcentral. Lineage: Bacteria; Pseudomonadati; Pseudomonadota; Alphaproteobacteria; Rhodobacterales; Paracoccaceae.